RNAcentral lists this ribosomal RNA (146 nucleotides) under Enterobacter roggenkampii. Its description in RNAcentral is "partial 16S ribosomal RNA". It matches the Rfam family "Bacterial small subunit ribosomal RNA", at positions 1 to 140 of the family's 1533-position model. Lineage: Bacteria; Pseudomonadati; Pseudomonadota; Gammaproteobacteria; Enterobacterales; Enterobacteriaceae. The record is from RNAcentral.
AAAUUGAAGAGUUUGAUCAUGGCUCAGAUUGAACGCUGGCGGCAGGCCUAACACAUGCAAGUCGAGCGGCAGCGGAAAGUAGCUUGCUACUUUGCCGGCGAGCGGCGGACGGGUGAGUAAUGUCUGGGAAACUGCCUGAUGGAGGG